Molecule: unclassified non-coding RNA, 8441 nt
Filed under: Leishmania donovani
Lineage: Eukaryota; Euglenozoa; Kinetoplastea; Trypanosomatida; Trypanosomatidae
Description: gene:LdHU3.33.4420(CDS-product:hypothetical_prote in_conserved)
Source: RNAcentral
AGCGCUCACGCGACAACGUCUCAGUUUACUGCCUCGCAGCCGUCUUGCGAGACGUUCGGGUCGCACUCCGCCUUGCAGGGAAGCACUGAAUUGCAGCCGCAGCAGCCGCAGUCCCCGUCAUCGAAGAGAGGGCCGGUGGGCAGCAGCACCGAUAGCACCACGUGCACGGUGCCGGCGAGUGACGAUAAUGCUCUCGGCUACGCCUUGAGCGACGGGUGCUAUGUGCCCCUCUGGGAAGAGGUAGAGUCGCCGCCAUCGCUGCGGCCACUUCCUCAGCCUCUCGCCGUUUUGCGUGACACACAGUCGCCCACCGGCUCACGCAGCGAUCCGAACGACAAAGCCGGCCCCUCGUCCUUGUCAACUGUUGACGACCGGAUGCUCUUCUCGUCACAGCGACAAGGACCUGGCUGUGUCCCUGAUCGUCAUCGGCGUCAUUCGCAGGCGUUGGAGACUCCGAAGGAUGUAGAUCUCCAGCCAUGGAGGAUAACUUCUACAAUGACGCAGCACCAGAAACCGAGCGACACCAGCAGCAGCAGCAGCAGCAAUACCCGGGAAACUGAGGCGUCCCGCAAGAACAGCGGCGUCACGGCACCUCCGCAGUUGUUGCGCUUGGAAGGAAGCGGGCGUGUUUCGCCGCGCCCCAGGGAGCCAAGCUCAAUUCCUCUGGCGGCAUCGGCACGCCAGCCGACCGGUGGGCGGCUUGAACCUCUGGGGCGCGCCGUCAGUUGCGACUCCGCUCCGGCAGCGCCGGCAUCGUCGUACCCGCUACGAGUGGGAACGAGUAAGACGCUUGAUACCACUUCCUUCGACAGGAUAGUGUUUACACCUGCGGCAUCGGCGCCGACGUACUUUUGCGACACCAGCACCGAAAGCGGCGCCGGCACAGCGUCCUUCUUCCUGCGCGAACCAGUGCUCGCGAAGCCAUCCUCGUUGAAUGUCGGGCAAAACGUCGCCAGCGGUGGGUCUCCCCGUGCCGCGUGGCCUCUAUCGUGGAGGGGCGCGCCCGGCGAUUGCGGACGCUCCACCGGCGACGCUCCACACGCGGAUCAGGCGCUGAGGAGUGGUGAGCCCAUGGCGCAGGUUUGCCGGUCUUCUUCGGCAACCCGUCAAAGUUCUUCUUCCGUAGCAAGCGAUCGAGGCUUGCUGUCUCCGAUGCGAGUCUCACCGCAAGGGCCUGGCAUGCCGGCUGCUGGUGCUGCUCACCACGCUACAGCAGCAGAGGCGGCGAAGUCUUCUCGAUCCACACGCUCGUGUCGCGCAUCAAGAACGUCGACAAUUUCGACUACGGCUUGCAGGCGCUCGGCUUUCCUGUCGAGGACUGCCGCCGCGUCUCGAAGGCAUCCGCAGGGAUGCGAGGGGAGCGUAGUAGCGGCGACUUUGGCAGCUAUCUCAUGGUGGCGUCUAACAGGUCUGGCGUCAAAGAUCAGGGCGGCCACAGCCCUCGCAACCCCGCUGCCAAGACUGGUUCCACCGCAGGAGGCGGCGGCAGCUUUGCCGGCGCAUCGUCGCUCCUGCCGCUCACACGCAGACAAUCUAAGCUGCCGCUGACCUCGUCCGGCGUGCGCGCCGCCUUCCCUUCAGCAUCUUUUGGCCUCUCUGGUGUGCCGCCUCACUCGAGCAAGAGCGCCAGCGCGGCAGCUUCGUCCUCAACUGCGCAGACCUCCAUGUCGGCCAGCUUGUCGAAGACCCUUUCGAGAACGAUGGCCCCGAUGGCCAUUGGGACUGAGCGGCCGGUGUCAACCGGUGACGGUCUCUUGUCGCCUGCCGCGCCUGGUGCACUUCGAACUUCUGCUGGCGCGGCCGCAGCGCGUCCGCAACUAGGAGGCGCCAACGAGCCAAGCUUCACCACUAGCGUUAUCCCCGCAGCAGCGGUUGCGACUCCGCCGAGUGAGUCCCGCAGUAGCAUUGGCAGCAGUGACGCUCUCGUGUCAGCAUCUUUUCGCUCCAUCGUCCUGCAGUCGCGUCGUCUGCCAUACAAACUUGAUGUCGUGUACGGAGAUCUCGCGCACAGCUCGAGUAACUUCACCGGCAAUAACUCACCAUGCAGAAGCUCUGCACAUGGCAGCUCUUUCAAAGGCCCUGUGGCCGGUCGCGGCGGAGGUGUUGCCACCGGGUUCAGCUCUACAGCGAAGUCGUGGAGUGCGACGGAUCAGUCUGAGAGGGGCGACGAUGGAGGCGCACUCGCUGUUGUCGAGGGUGAGGAGAGCGACCCGCUGUCUGCAGCGCGCCGGAUGCCCGGCUCGCUCGGGUGGACCUUUGGUGAGGACAAUUUUCAGGACUAUGAGGCAUUUGUGUCACUGGCGGUGCCGCCGAGGAGCGGCAGCGGCAGCGGCAGCAGCAGCUCCAGCGACGGCAGCCUCUCCUUUGGUGAGUCGGACCUGGGUCUUACUCUCGAGGAGGGUACACCCACGCCGCGGCAACUACGACGCCAAGGCGACGGCCUCGGUGGUGGCGGCAGUUUCACCCUCGAGGCACCGGCUGAUGGUGGUGUGCCGCUAGCAAAGGGAACGGGCAGGCGCAGUGGGCGAGACCGCGUCUGGGCAAGCGGCGAUUAUGGUAGCACUCCAGAGGGACGCCACCUGCCACGUCGCUCCCGCGACACCUUCUUCCCCUUCGAAGACGGCAGCGUCAACUGCUCCCGCGGCUUCAGCAGCCUCGCGCUGUCGUCGUUUCUGCGGGAUGCGGGGCCCACCAACCUCAAGGGAAUGGUGUGGGACUCCUCCUCCUCCGUGGCGCCGUCAAACCCCGUCAACUCGUCUGCUCAGGACACCUCUUCGCCGCCGUCGACGUCGGGCAGGACAGCCGUGAUGGCGCGCGAGAAGGGCCGGAUGGGUGGCCUCUCGCACCCUUCUCUCUUCCAGGGCAUAAGUAGCACAACCGCCGGAACGCAAACGGUGCCGCUCGCCAUCGUCUCCGCUACCAGUUUUGCUGUCCACACCUCCACAGAUCCCCUUGAGGUUCCCGCCCAGAGUUCACCGCUGACGAUUCGCGGCGGUGCAUCCACGAGCACGACCUUCGAGGCCGUGACGGGCGCGGCGAGGUCGAACCACCAAGUACCGCGGCCACCGAUGAACGUGGGAUCAGCAGCCGGUUUGGCACACCAGAACAAGGUGGGACAAGUCGCCGCGAGUGGGCCAGACGGCGUCAGCAGCAGCAACGGGACCGCCGAGGCGCCAGCGGAGCUCGUCCGCGCCGGUGUACUGCGAUGGUCAAAACCCCUUCAAGCUGCGCGUAUGAACCGCAACACUGUGUCCCCAUCGCACGGGGCGACGACUGCACGCUCCGCCCGUCGCACGCAGGAUGAGCUUCCGGCCUCGGAGCUGGAGUUGCCGAGGCCGAAGGAAUGGCUCGACGUGCGGGGGUUGACCGUGCUUGAGUGCUGUGGAGCAGCGGCAACGAACACGCCUGCGACAGCGCGGGUUUUCGCGGUAGAUGGUGGCUACACAGUGCGCGUAGUCCAGGGUAACUUGGUCGGCGACUGCAAGACGGACGAGUGCGUCCAGCGGUGCGCUGCUGCUAUGGCUGCCGCCAACGAGGCGAACGCCCCCGACAAGGCCAGCGUCGCCGCAUCGUCGCCGCCGCUUCCUUCCCUGCUGAUUGACACGGCUGUUACGCGCUUCAUCGAGGGUGGCGAAAAUGCGAUGGUGAUAGUCAUGGACACAGUGAAUGACUUUGUGCAGCGACGGCGGGCUGCGGCGGCGGCAGCAGCCGUAAGUUUACAGGACAGCAUGCGUGGCGGAGGUGGCUCGUCACCCUCGUCUUCGCUCUCUCCUCCGGCGCCGUCAACUCACGCGGAAGCGUUCCCAACAGCGAGCGUGGCACGGGCAAUGUGCAUGCGCGUCGUCGAGAGCUUUCUUUCCUGCAAGGGCGUGCGAGCCAAGACACACCCGGACUGUGUGGCUGACUUGAAGGUGGCUGUUGCGCUGGUGCCGGUCAGCCUGCAGCUGAACUCUCCGCCGACACCGAGGCCUACGUCGACGCCGACAGGGCGCGCCAGCUCGCCUGCGGAGAUUUCUCCUUACGCCGGUGAGAGAGGCGUCUUCUACGACGUGAUCUACACUGCCUGCACUCGCGACACCUGCUGUCGCCCACUCGAAGUGGCCACGUCGCCGAUCUUCGGCGCAUGUCUGAAUGAGUGCCAGUGGCACGUGGUUGAGGACGAAUCGGACAUUGCUGUCGUCUUCGAGCUGGCGCAGAGCCUCGCGGGGGCCGCUCGCGGGCGGCAGCAGCAAUGCCAGGGCUUCUUGUACAUCCAAUUCCUCCAUCAGUGCUUCAUUCCGGAUGUGGCUGCCGCCCGCGGUGCGGAUGCGGCGACGUCGCCAGUGUGCACGCAGCGGCGAGACAGUCGGCACGGCGAUAUAGUCGUUUCCUCCUUUACCAUCACCACCUCUCCCUAUUCAAGCGUGGUCGAGUCCAUUCUUGAUCAGCGCGCCGACACGCCGUGGCCACUUCUGCGUUACGCGCUGGGGAAAGGGCCCUGCACCGUGCUGGCGGUGGUGAACGUGCACGAGGAGGACGAAGAAGCGGCAUACCCGUUGAGCAUUCUACAGCGGCUAAAGUCAAUGCAGCACCCGCGACCGCGGUGCGGCAGCAUACGCUCCUAUAUCGCUGAGCAGCGUAACAAGAUCUCAGACCUCAAGUGGCGCUUGGCCAACAUAACAGAGACUCGGUCAAAAACGCAGGCCACUAUCAAGCGGCUGACGGUGCUCAUCUCGAAGCUCGAGUGCGGCGCGAAGGAUGCCGAGGAUUUCUUGUCGGACCCCAAGUCUGUUCACGUGCCAGUAUACGUAGACGCGCGAAAGGCAGUCCCUGAGGUCGGUGGCGCGGACCCACUUGUCCACACUUUCUCCCCGACCAGGGAGGCGGCACCGACGUGCGAGGCGCCUCAAGUGCUGGCUCUGGUGCAGCAUUACUCUCCAGUCACCGGCUUCGCCUCGUACUCACCCAGAACCGUAUCGUCUCAGCCCAAGGAAACGACGGCGCGGUGGCUCGCCGCUACGGCGCGAACGUCACCGAUAGACUCGACCGCGCCACGCACGGUGUCGCUGACGGCGCAGCUGUCUUUAACACACUCCACUCGUGUCCAGGUAGGCGAGAUCACUUCGCUUAGUGAGGCCAACACCUCGGAGCUGGGCUGGCAGCGGUGCGCGACGUGGCGCCGCCUCGGCGAGCGCUUUCGCAGCGGCUUCAAUGCCACCGUGGCUGUGGUGCAGGAGUCCGCCGGGGAGAACCGCGCGUGGUCGUUGCGGGUGGUACUCGAACUGGUCCGCAGUGUUCUCAAGGACUCGUGGGGACGCGUCUCGAACACGCCCGCCAAAGCUGGCGAUGAUGACCAGCCGCGGUUUUCCUCGCGUCAGGUGAUGCGCGUCGCCGCGUCCGUCUACCACUGCAGCGACUCGGCUGUCGCCGAUCUGCUCCGCACCUCCAGUACGAGUCGCAUAGCCACUGGUACCUCCGUCCUCGGCACGGUGUCUUUUGCACCGGCGAAGAUGGCCGUGCGGCCGCUCGCCGGCGCGUGCGCACCAGUGAAUGUGUCAAGCAAACGGAUCGCUUCGCCAGGGGAGCUGGAGACGCUCUUGCGCAGGGCGGUCGAGCGCCUGCGUGCUGCGCAGGCUGCCGCAGAAGAUGCAGCGUCGCACGAUGGCGUGCAGGACGCACUCACGCGGCAGUGCCUGCUGGCGCCGGGGUACACCGUUAUGAGCAUCGAGCUUACGCAGCAGGUGACAGGGGCUCGCCGCCGCUCUCACGCGAGCAUUGAUGCGGAGCACUCUCUCAACGACAGCGAGGAUGUGUACGUGAGCACUCUGACGGUUGUAAACCUUGGCGGCCACUACGCGUUGCUGUCGGAGGCAAUCAGGGCAGACACCGCGGCGGGCGACGAGCACAAGGACGACCCUAUCGCACCUUAUGCGAGGAGGACUGCAGCGACGAUACCUGCAACAUCUAGUGGCGCGGCGCCGAUGACAGCUAGGGCCCUGCUCGCGCGCCUCUUCGUGCACCGUCGCCACAUGAUCGUGUGCGCUGUGGCCUUGCCUGCUGUUCCGACGCCUGAGGCGGCCGAUCAGUUGCUGUGCACUGUGAGAGACUUCGUGAAACAUGUGGCGAGCCAAGGCGCAACGGGGGCGACGUCGCUCGGAAGCGUGCGGCACUUCAUUGCUCACCUGAGAGAUGUGCUGCGCGUAGCAGAGCACAGACAAGGUGGUGUGAGAUACUCACUCGUUAGCAUCCGCGACGCGGUGAAGCGCGCCUUUGCCGUCUUGCGCGACCCGCGCAGCGUCGCCUUUACCUUCUACCCAUUUACGCAGGAAGAUGCGGAGGCACUGACGCUGCCUGCGUCACCGCUGCUCGUCGACCGCGCUGCAGGUGAAUCGGUAUCUGUGAGGGAGUACGGGUCAUCGGAUACCCUCACCAGUGGCACCGUGCCCACCAUCAGCGGCGGUGGCGGUCGCAGGGCGCCGACGUUGUCGACGGCAGCGACGGAAAACGAAGGGCCGCGCGUGCCGCGUGCAGCCGCGCGGAGGGCGACGCCAAUGGAAGCUACGUGCCCUAACGGUGAAGCGCACGGAGCCUUCGACUGCCGUGCCUUCGGCACCGCGAUGAGUGCGCGCACCGCGCUCCUGGGAAACCCGGCCACCUACUACGGCAUUUGCUAUGACCGCAAGGAGGAUCCUCCGCUGCUGUGCCGCGACGUGGCCAUGUCGCUCUGCCGAUCAGCGCCGCGGAGUCGGCUAUGCGCCCCAACCACCGCCACCCCAGUGACAACGACGGCGCGCACCAAGGUGCAGCACCCCAGCGACAUCAGGGAGAAAGACGAGGACAAGCAGGUGACGGUGCCGAGUGUGGUGGUGCUCAACGCGGCCACCACCAGCUCGUAUGUGUGCCGACGCGGCACAUGGGUAAGCGUCCCCGUCCCCUCCACGCUGCCCCCGGUGCCAGCAGAGCCACAGUACUUCUCAUUCGGCGCCGAUGAGCUAGUCCGCAUCAAGCCCACGUCGAUUGGCAUGAAGAGCUCACGACUGAUGCGAGCCGUGUCGUGUGUGUCGCGUGGGCGUACGGCAGCGCUGCUCCUAUCGGACACGGAGUCGUGUGAGGCGACGUCAUCGAUUGCGUGGCUGACGCUGCGCACCGUGAUAGGUGGCAUCUUCCAGUCGCUCAGUCUGAAGGAGGUGGAAGGGGUGCAGCACUGCGCGACAAUGCGAGCCUUCCUGAUUGAGCAGGACAGCAAGGACGUGUUUGCCGACCUGCUGGCGCCGAACCUGACCUCCGUGCACCCGAGACAGCCGCUGACCCGACUCGAUUACUCACCCUUCUGCGGCCCCGUCCCGUCAGAGACGACCGCCGUGCCUGUGAAGGAUUUGCGAGACGUGAACGUGGCGCUCACCUCUGUGCUGCUUGGUGCUCGCCUGGCCCAUGAGUCGGCCACUUUAACGGCUGCGGAGCAGCUGCAGGGCUGCAUCGUUCUUCAUCUCACGUUCCACCAGUACGUUCCGGCAACAGCCGGCGUACUCGCCGACGUAGUAGUGUCGUCGCUGUGGUGUGUGCACAUGGGAUCCAGCGUCGGGUGGAUGGAGGCGUUGUACAAGGCACCGAGCACCGCCACCGGCGCGUUGCUGCGCUACUGGUUGGGGGGCCCCUGCUACACCACCGCCAUCGCAGGAUUUUCCCGGUAUGUGGGGGUCCCUGCAGCGACCUGGCGUGCCCUCAUCGACACCCAACGGCGUAUGAGCGUGAUUGUGCUGCGGAUGCCGCGCUUUGGCAGCGUCCGUGCCUACAUGGACUACCUCAGCGAGACUGUGGCAAGGUGCAGGAAAAAGGCACCAGCGGCAGCCAAGUUGUGUGGUCAGCUCGGAAGUGCUGUGACCGUCACGGGCACUUCAAGCGUACUCGCCGCCGCGUCGCCGCGUCAGAAGUGGAAGUGCGACGACUCACCGCAGAUGGUGGCCGGCGUAGCGGACGCGGUGGCGCGAGUGAUGGUGUUGCUAAAGGAGGCACAGCACAUGAUUGACCGUAGUAGCGAUGACGGCAUCGCUCCAACGAAGCAGCUAGGAUUACUGGCGCAUGACGAGAAAAUGUUUGCUGCCUUAGACACGGUUUGAGGAGACGGUGCGCGUGUGUGUGUGGGGGGGAUGUGGUGGUAGAGGUGACUGUCUGAAGACAAGAUGGCGGGUGUAGUCCUUUACGCGCUAUCUUCCUUUGUCUUUCUCUACGUUUUUAUUUUUCGCGCUUCGCUUACUAUUGCUCGGGAGCGUGUACGCUUGGCGGUAGAUGUAUGAGCGCAGCUGACGCUGCUGAUGGGUGUGCUUUUCUUCCUUGCUUUGUGUUGGCCUUUCGUCUCAACAGUCGACGUGUAAUCCACCUGUACACGGCAUUCUCUGCCAUCAGAUCUGCAUGCCUUGCAAUGCCCACUGCUACGACUACUACUACGAACCGUCGAUUCAGUG